AACGAACGCUGGCGGCGUGCCUAACACAUGCAAGUCGAGCGAGAAAGGGGAGCAAUCCCUGAGUAAAGCGGCGAACGGGUGAGUAACACGUAGGUAACCUACCUCUCAGACUGGGACAACCUGUCGAAAGAUGGGCUAAUACUAGAUAAGACCACGACUUCUUCGGAAGAUGAGGUAAAAGAUGGCCUCUACUUGUAAGCUAUCACUAAGAGAUGGGCCUGCGUACCAUUAGCUAGUUGGUAGGGUAACGGCCUACCAAGGCUACGAUGGUUAGAUGAUCUUAGAGGAUGAUCAGCCACACUGGAACUGAAACACGGUCCAGACUCCUACGGGAGGCAGCAGUGGGGAAUCUUGCGCAAUGGGCGAAAGCUUGACGCAGCAACGCCGCGUGGGCGAAGAAGGCCUUCGGGUCGUAAAGCCCUGUCGGAGGGGACGAAACCUUUUUUGGCUAACAUCCAAGAAAAUUGACGGUACCCUCAAAGGAAGCACCGGCUAACCACGUGCCAGCCGCCGCGGUAA
RNAcentral lists this ribosomal RNA (519 nucleotides) under uncultured bacterium. RNAcentral describes it as "partial 16S ribosomal RNA". It matches the Rfam family "Bacterial small subunit ribosomal RNA", at positions 29 to 523 of the family's 1533-position model. The record is from RNAcentral.